AUGAAAGAAAAAAAAACCCUGGAUUUUUUUUUUUUUUUCCUCUCCGCUUCCCCCCUCUCCCCCUCCCCUAGAUGUGGCCUCUUGUUUAGCUUGUGGCGUGACCGUGAUGAAGAAAUGUUUCAGGGCGCCUGGCAGGGUGAUCUUUUUAUGUAAUGAGUCAGGAUUUUGCCAACGGAAGGAGCCGGCUCGGAGCGAGGACCGGAGGUUGUCUCCUUUCAAGAACGGGGACCUGCCCGGUGAGCGGCUCCCUGCGCGCGGGAUCCAUUCCCGUUCCCAUUCCCGUUCCCGGCUCGCCGGGGCACCGCCGCGGGCACUGACAAGUAUGUAAACAUUGCUGUUCAAGAGUAAAGAAGAUUCUAAUGGCCUCAGGGUACAGACUCCAGGUGGAUUCUCUUCCACACUGCGGCCCUCCCUGUCUCUUAAGCAGCUAAUUGCUUGCCCCUUAACCUGUACUUCUGACUAUCCCCUUAAAUGCUUCUGGUACCCUUCUGUCAUCAUGACUGAAGCUCUGUCCUCAAUCAGGCCAUGCCAGUUCUUUAGGAUAUACAGUUAAUAACUCACUCCAACAUUUGGAUAUAACACCAUGUGAUUUACCUGAAUCACCUCAACGAGAGAUGAAGGCUCCAUUCGACUGUUACCAGGUUGUUGUACAUAUUCUGAGGACUACAUUUAAAAUUGGUUUGGAUACUCAAGAUGAAAGAGAUUUAAGUAUUUAGUUCCAAGGUCGUGAGUCUUACGGAAGAGAAGUCUACGGAUUCUGGAGAGCAGAAGAGUUCAGUUACUAAUUUUCUCUUGCAUCACUAACAGCAAAUCUUCUUUCCCACAUUUUAGUGUGAGAAUGUGAUGAUAGAGCUGAUAUUAAACAAUUUAAUUAUAGUACUUCUGGGAGUAUUCUAAGGUUAGAAAUGCAACAUUUAACAUCUUGAAAUUAUUUUUUCCCUUUGCAAUGCAAGUUCACAAUCAUUUAAAAACCCAUUAAUUUUGACAUACCUUCAAACAGGUUAUUCCAUGUUUAAUGGACAGUGGUUCCCACUCUAGUGUAACUAUAAUAUAAUGAAGCCUUCUUAAUAUUCCACUCUUCCACAAAAAUGGUUCUGAAUUUGCUGAUUUGUAGAAUUAUUUUGUUUUCACCCCUCCAAGGGAAACACAUAGAAAUUUAAAUCUUAUGACAAUAGGCUUGCUUGUCUUGGUUACAGUUCACAAAUAUCUUGAAAAUAGUCCAUGGAACAAAAAGGUCUGCUCAAGAGGAUGACAAUAAAUUGUUAUAUUAGGAAGAAGGAAAACAAAGAUUUCACUCAAACCAUUUCAGACGCUAAUAAAUAAAAACAAACCAGU
This 1335-nucleotide long non-coding RNA is filed under the name Taeniopygia guttata (zebra finch). RNAcentral's name for it is "lncRNA (ENSTGUG00000026185.1)". The record is from RNAcentral. Lineage: Eukaryota; Metazoa; Chordata; Aves; Passeriformes; Estrildidae.